GCAUAAGGGUAGUAAUACUCUGGUGGCGACCGGCAGACGGGUGAGUAACGCGUAUGCAACCUACCCUGUACAGGGGAAUAACCCGGAGAAAUUCGGACUAAUACCCCAUAAUUUUAUCUGAGGGCAUCCUUGGGUAAUUAAAGAUCCGUCGGUACGGGAUGGGCAUGCGUAACAUUAGCUAGUUGGUAAGGUAACGGCUUACCAAGGCUUUGAUGUUUAGGGGUCCUGAGAGGGUGAUCCCCCACACUGGUACUGAGACACGGACCAGACUCCUACGGGAGGCAGCAGUGAGGAAUAUUGGUCAAUGGGCGCAAGCCUGAACCAGCCAUCCCGCGUGCAGGAAGACGGCCCUAUGGGUUGUAAACUGCUUUUCCGAAAGGCGAAACUUACCGACGUGUCGUUAAUUGACGGUA
This 413-nucleotide ribosomal RNA is filed under the name uncultured Caryophanales bacterium. RNAcentral's name for it is "bacterial SSU rRNA". It matches the Rfam family "Bacterial small subunit ribosomal RNA", at positions 68 to 477 of the family's 1533-position model. The record is from RNAcentral. Lineage: Bacteria; Bacillati; Bacillota; Bacilli; Caryophanales.